RNAcentral lists this long non-coding RNA (1118 nucleotides) under Castor canadensis (American beaver). RNAcentral's name for it is "lncRNA (ENSCCNG00000013015.1)". Lineage: Eukaryota; Metazoa; Chordata; Mammalia; Rodentia; Castoridae. The record is from RNAcentral.
GCAGUGGCGAGCACGGGGGCGGUGGCGGCGGCGGCGAGGACGGGGGCGGUGGCGACUGGAACGCACGGUUUCAGCCCCGGUAGCCCCUGCACAUUCCCUUGUGUUUGGGCCACAGCUCGCGGUAGUGUCCCCGUUCCCACGGGGCCCCGCCGCCCUGAGUUCAUCUUCGGGCGCUUGUCCGCGUCCUCGCCCCUCACCUGAGCCCGAACUUAGCGAGGCCGUCGCCUGACAGCCCUGGCGGGUGUGGAGACCCCUGCGUGGACCCGGGACCGCGGGCCUCGGCCGGGGCGGCGGGAGGGACGCCGGAAGUAGCGGGCAGUGCCGCAGCGCAGGUCACCAGCCGUGUGGUUUCUCCUUCCACAGGAACCCUUCACACGGGGAACGCGUGUGCGUCUGUCCGCUCCUCCGGAAAUGGCCAAGUGGGCUUUGAACACAUUGCCUCCUGUUUGCCAUGCAGGUGAUCUAGCCAUGCUUCCAGACCUAUCUCAACAGUUUUGAGGUUUGUUUGUUGGUUUAUAUUCACUCGGACAGUCCAAGAUAGUCUCUUGCAUCCAUUGGUAAGAAAACGUUGGGCUAGACCUAUGAUCUCAUUGAGGCCAUUUGUUUGUUUCUUUGUUGUUGUUUGCAUUGCUGUUUUUGUUGAUUUCAUUAAGCCAAAAUGCUUUGUGUCUGCUUGAAGGUAGAAGUUUCUUACAGAAUCCAAUAGCUUGGUUGAGGUACUUUUUGGAGGGAUAAGAGUUUCAGUGCUCACAGAAUUCAUUGGGAUGCAUUCUAGACAUGGUGUUUUAAGUUUGUGAGGGAUGAUUCAAAACCAUCUCCACUGGAGAGCUCUUCUACCUGAUGGAAACAUGAGGAACAUGAUAUCCCUACUCCCACCGAAAUGAUAAGGACCACUAAAUAACAGUGCUUUGAAACUUUAGGUUUAUUUAAUUACAAUAGUCAGUGUGUUUGCAUUUGUUUUGACUUAGCUUGCAAUAUUCAACAUUAGUGGAAUUUUUACCACAUUUACAAAAAUUUCUGGAUACUAAGUCAUUUGCUAGAUUCCCUUCAUAUUUAAAUUUUUAUUUUGUUACUAAGCUAGCAAUAAAUUCAUAACACAUUGUGAUAUGAAGAAAAGG